GGGAGUGUAGCUUAGUGGUAGAGUGCUUACCUAGCAUUUGUGAGCCCCUGGGUUUGAUUCCCAGCAUUGCAA
RNAcentral lists this transfer RNA (72 nucleotides) under Heterocephalus glaber (naked mole-rat). It matches the Rfam family "tRNA". From Rfam's summary of the family: Transfer RNA (tRNA) molecules are approximately 80 nucleotides in length. Their secondary structure includes four short double-helical elements and three loops (D, anti-codon, and T loops). Lineage: Eukaryota; Metazoa; Chordata; Mammalia; Rodentia; Bathyergidae. The record is from Rfam by way of RNAcentral.